This is a small nuclear RNA of Anolis carolinensis (green anole), 116 nucleotides long. Its record names the gene U5. It matches the Rfam family "U5 spliceosomal RNA". Rfam says of the family: U5 RNA is a component of both types of known spliceosome. The precise function of this molecule is unknown, though it is known that the 5' loop is required for splice site selection and p220 binding, and that both the 3' stem-loop and the Sm site are important for Sm protein binding and cap methylation. Lineage: Eukaryota; Metazoa; Chordata; Lepidosauria; Squamata; Anolidae. The record is from Ensembl.
AUACUCUGGUUUCUCUUCAGAUCGUAUAAAUCUUUCGCCUUUUACUAAAGAUUUCCGUGGAGAGGAACAUUUAUGAGUUUGUAACCAAUUUUUUGAGGCUCCACCUUGGUGGAGCU